GUACAAACAGAUGAUGUCCAGGGUGGGAGGGGUCUCUGGCUAUGUUUUUUGCCUUCCUGAGGCAGUGACAAGUAUACAAUUCCUCUAAUGAAGGCAAAGGACAGCUGGUGAUCUUCUGGGCUGUGGUGACAACCCUCUGGGGAGCUUUCCUGUCUGUGACCGUGCAGCUGGAAAACCACACAGACAUCUUAUCUGGGAUGUCAA
Molecule: long non-coding RNA, 204 nt
Organism: Thalassophryne amazonica
Lineage: Eukaryota; Metazoa; Chordata; Actinopteri; Batrachoidiformes; Batrachoididae
Exons: 3
Source: RefSeq, a predicted model, not a curated record